UGAGGAAUUUUGCGCAAUGGGCGAAAGCCUGACGCAGCAACGCCGCGUGAGUGACGAAGGCCUUCGGGUCGUAAAACUCUGUCAGGCGGGAAGAAACUGUACUGUAUGAAUGAUAUGGUAUACUGACGGUACCGCCGAAGGAAGCACCGGCUAACUCCGUGCCAGCAGCAGCGGUAAUACGGAGGGUGAAAGCGUUAUUCGGAUUUAUUGGGCGUGAAGGGCGCGUAGGCGGCUUUUUAAGUCAGAUGUGAAAGCCCGGUGAUUAACCUCGGAAGUGCAUUUGAAACUGGGAAGCUUGAGUAUGGGAGAGGUAAACGGAAUUCCUGGUGUAGCGGUGAAAUGCGUAGAUAUCAGGAGGAACACCGGUGGCGAAAGCGGUUUCCCGGACCAAUACUGACGCUGAGGCGCGAAGGCGCGGGGAUCAAACA
RNAcentral lists this ribosomal RNA (428 nucleotides) under uncultured prokaryote. Its description in RNAcentral is "bacterial SSU rRNA". It matches the Rfam family "Bacterial small subunit ribosomal RNA", at positions 355 to 774 of the family's 1533-position model. The record is from RNAcentral.